This 300-nucleotide ribosomal RNA is filed under the name uncultured Kineosporiaceae bacterium. Its description in RNAcentral is "bacterial SSU rRNA". It matches the Rfam family "Bacterial small subunit ribosomal RNA", at positions 114 to 416 of the family's 1533-position model. The record is from RNAcentral. Lineage: Bacteria; Bacillati; Actinomycetota; Actinomycetes; Kineosporiales; Kineosporiaceae.
CACGUGAGCAACCUGCCCCUGACUCUGGGAUAGCCUCGGGAAACCGGGAUUAAUACCGGAUAUGACACCUCCUCGCAUGGGGUGGUGUGGAAAGUUUUUCGGUCAGGGAUGGGCUCGCGGCCUAUCAGCUUGUUGGUGGGGUGAUGGCCUACCAAGGCGACGACGGGUAGCCGGCCUGAGAGGGUGACCGGCCACACUGGGACUGAGACACGGCCCAGACUCCUACGGGAGGCAGCAGUGGGGAAUAUUGCGCAAUGGGCGAAAGCCUGACGCAGCGACGCCGCGUGAGGGAUGAAGGCC